CUGUCAAGUCGGAUGUGAAAUCCCCGGGCUCAACCUGGGAACUGCAUUCGAAACUGGCAGGCUAGAGUCUUGUAGAGGGGGGUAGAAUUCCAGGUGUAGCGGUGAAAUGCGUAGAGAUCAGGAGGAAUACCGGUGGCGAAGGCGGCCCCCUGGACAAAGACUGACGCUCAGGUGCGAAAGCGUGGGGAGCAAACAGGAUUAGAUACCCUGGUAGUCCACGCCGUAAACGAUGUCGAUUUGGAGGUUGUGCCCUUGAGGCGUGGCUUCCGGAGCUAACGCGGUAAAUCGACCGCCUGGGGAGUACGGCCGCAAGGUUAAAACUCAAA
This 326-nucleotide ribosomal RNA is filed under the name Klebsiella pneumoniae. RNAcentral describes it as "bacterial SSU rRNA". It matches the Rfam family "Bacterial small subunit ribosomal RNA", at positions 580 to 905 of the family's 1533-position model. Lineage: Bacteria; Pseudomonadati; Pseudomonadota; Gammaproteobacteria; Enterobacterales; Enterobacteriaceae. The record is from RNAcentral.